This 253-nucleotide ribosomal RNA is filed under the name uncultured bacterium. Its description in RNAcentral is "partial 16S ribosomal RNA". It matches the Rfam family "Bacterial small subunit ribosomal RNA", at positions 524 to 776 of the family's 1533-position model. The record is from RNAcentral.
UACGUAGGGUGCAAGCGUUACUCGGAAUUACUGGGCGUAAAGCGUGCGCAGGCGGUUUUGUAAGUCUGUCGUGAAAUCCCCGGGCUCAACCUGGGAAUUGCGAUGGAGACUGCAAGGCUAGAAUCUGGCAGAGGGGGGUAGAAUUCCACGUGUAGCAGUGAAAUGCGUAGAGAUGUGGAGGAACACCGAUGGCGAAGGCAGCUCUCUGGGACGGUACUGACGCUGAGACGCGAAAGCGUGGGGAGCAAACAGG